CAGUAGCCGCGGUAAUACAGAGGGUGCGAGCGUUAAUCGGAUUUACUGGGCGUAAAGCGUGCGUAGGCGGCUUUUUAAGUCGGAUGUGAAAUCCCUGAGCUUAACUUAGGAAUUGCAUUCGAUACUGGGAAGCUAGAGUAUGGGAGAGGAUGGUAGAAUUCCAGGUGUAGCGGUGAAAUGCGUAGAGAUCUGGAGGAAUACCGAUGGCGAAGGCAGCCAUCUGGCCUAAUACUGACGCUGAGGUACGAAAGCAUGGGGAGCAAACAGGAUUAGAUACCCGUGUAGUCCCUGUCUCUUAUAU
RNAcentral lists this ribosomal RNA (301 nucleotides) under uncultured bacterium. RNAcentral's name for it is "partial 16S ribosomal RNA". It matches the Rfam family "Bacterial small subunit ribosomal RNA", at positions 509 to 809 of the family's 1533-position model. The record is from RNAcentral.